RNAcentral lists this ribosomal RNA (333 nucleotides) under uncultured bacterium. Its description in RNAcentral is "partial 16S ribosomal RNA". It matches the Rfam family "Bacterial small subunit ribosomal RNA", at positions 338 to 668 of the family's 1533-position model. The record is from RNAcentral.
CCUACGGGCGGCAGCAGUGAGGAAUAUUGGUCAAUGGACGCAAGUCUGAACCAGCCAUGCCGCGUGCAGGAAGACGGCUCUAUGAGUUGUAAACUGCUUUUGUACGAGGGUAAACGCAGAUACGCGUAUCUGUCUGAAAGUAUCGUACGAAUCAGGAUCGGCUAACUCCGUGCCAGCAGCCGCGGUAAUACGGAGGGUUCAAGCGUUAUCCGGAUUUAUUGGGGUUAAAGGGUGCGUAGUCGGGCGGAGAAGUGAGAGGUGAAAUCUCGAGGUGAAACAUCGGAAUUGUCUGUGAUACUGUUCGGCUAGAGAGUAGUUGCGGUAGGCGGAAUG